This 459-nucleotide long non-coding RNA is filed under the name Homo sapiens (human). Its description in RNAcentral is "HSALNT0018740". The record is from RNAcentral. Lineage: Eukaryota; Metazoa; Chordata; Mammalia; Primates; Hominidae.
CACGAGCAAGUGGUUCAUACUUCUGGCAUGUCUGCUUCUGACCUAAUACCACCCCUCCUCAGCCCACACUUAUGACUUCAGGAAAGUGGUCUAUGAGUCAUGGACUACAAUGGAAAAGUUUUGAACAGCAUCUAGAGAAGGCUCUGUGUGAUAUUCUGGCACCAUCCGAAAGAUUUGCUGAAAUGUUUAGCAGCCAUUUAGGCAUGCUUCUGAGGGACUAUGAAAAAGAGAAACCUCCCUGAAGAAUGGUAAAUCCAAACUCUGUUACUCCAUCUUGGCUGGAAGAAGGGUGCAGCUUCAUUUUUAAUGGGUGCCUAGAAUUCCAUUAAUGGAUGUACUCUGCUGGACUAUAUGUAUUUGGUAGGACAAACCAUGCCUUGUUGACUCUUAUACCCAAAGUCUGAGGUAUGAUGGAAUUUGACAUAUAGAAACAUUCAAUAAAUAAUUAACAGAAUAAAU